Molecule: ribosomal RNA, 465 nt
Filed under: uncultured bacterium
Lineage: Bacteria
Description: partial 16S ribosomal RNA
Rfam family: Bacterial small subunit ribosomal RNA
Source: RNAcentral
GAUGAACGCUGGCGGCGUGCUUAACACAUGCAAGUCGAACGGAAAGGCUCCUGCUUGCAGGGGUACUCGAGUGGCGAACGGGUGAGUAACACGUGGGUGAUCUGCCCUGCACUUCGGGAUAAGCCUGGGAAACCGGGUCUAAUACCGGAUAGGACCACAUUUUGGAUGGUGUGGUGGAAAGUUUUUCGGUGUGGGAUGAGCUCGCGGCCUAUCAGCUUGUUGGUGGGGUAAUGGCCUACCAAGGCGUCGACGGGUAGCCGGCCUGAGAGGGUGUACGGCCACAUUGGGACUGAGAUACGGCCCAGACUCCUACGGGAGGCAGCAGUGGGGAAUAUUGCACAAUGGGCGCAAGCCUGAUGCAGCGACGCCGCGUGGGGGAUGACGGCCUUCGGGUUGUAAACUCCUUUCGCUAGGGACGAAGCGCAAGUGACGGUACCUGGAGAAGAAGCACCGGCUAACUACGUG